This 550-nucleotide ribosomal RNA is filed under the name uncultured bacterium. Its description in RNAcentral is "bacterial SSU rRNA". It matches the Rfam family "Bacterial small subunit ribosomal RNA", at positions 355 to 896 of the family's 1533-position model. The record is from RNAcentral.
UAGGGAAUCUUCGGCAAUGGGGGCAACCCUGACCGAGCAACGCCGCGUGAGUGAAGAAGGUUUUCGGAUCGUAAAGCUCUGUUGUAAGAGAAGAACGAGUGUGAGAGUGGAAAGUUCACGCUGUGACGGUAUCUUACCAGAAAGGGACGGCUAACUACGUGCCAGCAGCCGCGGUAAUACGUAGGUCCCGAGCGUUGUCCGGAUUUAUUGGGCGUAAAGCGAGCGCAGGCGGUUAGAUAAGUCUGAAGUUAAAGGCUGUGGCUUAACCAUAGUACGCUUUGGAAACUGUUUAACUUGAGUGCAAGAGGGGAGAGUGGAAUUCCAUGUGUAGCGGUGAAAUGCGUAGAUAUAUGGAGGAACACCGGUGGCGAAAGCGGCUCUCUGGCUUGUAACUGACGCUGAGGCUCGAAAGCGUGGGGAGCAAACAGGAUUAGAUACCCUGGUAGUCCACGCCGUAAACGAUGAGUGCUAGGUGUUAGACCCUUUCCGGGGUUUAGUGCCGCAGCUAACGCAUUAAGCACUCCGCCUGGGGAGUACGACCGCAAGGUUG